RNAcentral lists this non-coding RNA (95 nucleotides) under human gut metagenome. RNAcentral describes it as "THF riboswitch". It matches the Rfam family "THF (Tetrahydrofolate) riboswitch aptamer". Rfam says of the family: THF riboswitch presents a pseudoknot that joins P1-P2 and the loop of P3 and two THF binding. The record is from RNAcentral.
GCAGAGUAGGGCUUUGAGCGUUAAGUGCCGUUUGAACGGGGAGUUGUCAAACGAACGAAAAGUUUUCUUGCGGUUCAAAGCUUGCAUCCCGCUGC